This 656-nucleotide ribosomal RNA is filed under the name uncultured Lachnospiraceae bacterium. RNAcentral describes it as "bacterial SSU rRNA". It matches the Rfam family "Bacterial small subunit ribosomal RNA", at positions 72 to 740 of the family's 1533-position model. The record is from RNAcentral. Lineage: Bacteria; Bacillati; Bacillota; Clostridia; Lachnospirales; Lachnospiraceae.
AUUCUUCGGAUGAAGAGGUUUGUGACUGAGUGGCGGACGGGUGAGUAACGCGUGGGUAACCUGCCUCAUACAGGGGGAUAACAGUUAGAAAUGACUGCUAAUACCGCAUAAGACCACGGAGCCGCAUGGCUCAGUGGGAAAAACUCCGGUGGUAUGAGAUGGACCCGCGUCUGAUUAGGUAGUUGGUGGGGUAACGGCCUACCAAGCCGACGAUCAGUAGCCGACCUGAGAGGGUGACCGGCCACAUUGGGACUGAGACACGGCCCAAACUCCUACGGGAGGCAGCAGUGGGGAAUAUUGCACAAUGGGGGAAACCCUGAUGCAGCGACGCCGCGUGAGCGAAGAAGUAUUUCGGUAUGUAAAGCUCUAUCAGCAGGGAAGAAAAUGACGGUACCUGACUAAGAAGCACCGGCUAAAUACGUGCCAGCAGCCGCGGUAAUACGUAUGGUGCAAGCGUUAUCCGGAUUUACUGGGUGUAAAGGGAGCGUAGACGGCUGUGUAAGUCUGAAGUGAAAGCCCGGGGCUCAACCCCGGGACUGCUUUGGAAACUAUGCAGCUAGAGUGUCGGAGAGGUAAGUGGAAUUCCCAGUGUAGCGGUGAAAUGCGUAGAUAUUGGGAGGAACACCAGUGGCGAAGGCGGCUUACUGGACGAUGAC